UCCGUGUGAGUCAUCGGCCGAUUUCAUAUAGUGUCCGUGUGAGUCACUGGCCGAUUUCAUAUAGUGUCCGUGUGAGUCACUGGCCGAUUUCAUAUAGCGUCCGUAUCCCUGUGUCAGGCAACCGCUUCUAACACAACACUCCAAGUUCUAAGUUUACUUCCUGAAUCUUUAUUUUGAGUUGAAGCUGCCGUGUGUGUGUGUGUGUGUGUGUGUGUGUGUGUGUGUACGCCUAUAGCGCCGGUAGGCUUCCUUGAGGGGCCUGGAUGGUAGUUGGCCCCAGCCCGUCAUGGCGCAGGCAAGUGUUUAUAGUGGCGCCAUCUUCUCUUGGUGUGUGUGUGUGUGUGUGUGUGUGUGUGUGUCAAGCUGUCACCCUGGUCUUUAAGCUGUCACCCUGGUCUUCAAGCUGUCACCCUGGUCUUCAAGCUGUCACCCUGGUCUUCAAGCUGUCACCCUGGUCUUCAAGCUGUCACCCUGGUCUUCAAGCUUUCACCCUGGUCUUCAAGCUGUCACCCUGGUGUUCAAGCUUUCACCCUGGUCUUCAAGCUUUCACCCUGGUCUUCAAGCUUUCACCCUGGUCUUCAAGCUGUCACCCUGGUCUUCAAGCUUUCACCCUGGUCUUCAAGCUUUCACCCUGGUCUUCAAGCUGUCACCCUGGUCUUCAAGCUGUCACCCUGGUCUUCAAGCUGUCACCCUGGUCUUCAAGCUGUCACCCUGGUCUUCAAGCUGUCACCCUGGUCUUCAAGCUGUCACCCUGGUCUUCAAGCUUUCACCCUGGUCUUCAAGCUGUCACCCUGGUCUACAAGCUUUCACCCUGGUCUUCAAGCUAUCACCCUGGUCUUCAAGCUUUCACCCUUGUCUAACUUAUAGGGUUCACGGUGCACCAUUUUUCAGGGAGUCCAACUUUUAAUAUUCUUUUCUUCUUUUAUUUUUAGGUCGGAGAAGUUGUUUUGGUGAUGUAGAGAGAGCGUUCAAGACACCAAAGUUCAGGAUGCGAUUGGUGAGACAGACAGCCUUUGCAGCGACCUUCACUAACUUAACCACCACGUAGGCCUAUAACACAACCAUUACGUCCUUGUUAAGUUGUCUAAACACCACACUCGAACCUUUGAUAGAGUCCUUACCAUCACAUCGAACCGGGUUUUAUAUUUAUUUAUAUUUGAGAGACAUUUUGCAACGGCCUCUACUUACAUCAACAACCACACCCAAUAUGUUCUUGUGUAGUCGAUGUUUAAGAACCACACUCGGCCUGUUACCAUAGCCUACUCCUGGUCACUUCUAUAGACCUACGCACCAAGAGAUGUUCCUUGCUCGUCAUCACAAUUCCCACAGUCGCUCGCCACCGCUCACCAGCACAUGGCAUCAUCGUUCCAAUCACCACCUCAGUAUAUCCCUCGUGAUCACACUGUCAAGGUAAUGCUUUCGUCUUUUUUUCAUCUCCACUUUCUUAUGUGCUGCUUGAGUGCCGGUAGUCCUGAACGCGGCGCCGUCAUGCUAUCCCCUCAGCCACCGCAUGGAGAUUUGCCCCGAGGGAACACUGGAGCUGGCGUCGUAGGGCUGAUUGACUAGGCUCUCUUAAGUGGCCUUUUGGACGACCCCAGCCCGUUAUUGGAGCGGGCGAAUUUUAUUUAUAGUGGUGCCGUAGCUCUUGCGUGGCCCAUGCUGCCCUCGUGUGCUCCACUCGAACGAAGUCACUGAAGUUAGGGUUGAGUGGAGAUCCUGCCAGCUUGUGGGUAAUCUUCCUCGGCGAUGGUUGAAAACUAUCACCGUCUUUGGGUAGAAAGUUGGAAAGUUUCGUUUAGUCGGCGCAGCAUCUGUGGUCAUAUGCCGGAGAGAGACAGAAGGGGAAGGAAUUAUUGGAGAAGGGAACAGUUGGAAAGUUUCGUUUAGUGGGCGCAACAUCUGUGGUCAUAUGCCGGAGAGAUACAGAAGGGGAAGGAAUUAUAGGAGAAUGGAGCAGAUCCCAGGAGACGGGACACAACCCCCGAUUAAUACCCGGUACCCAUUCACUGCUGGGUGGACAGGGGCGUAGGGUAUCGGAAAAGCCGCCCAAAUUUUUCCACUCCGCCCAGGAAUCGAACCCGGGCUCUCUUGGUUGUGAGCCGAGUGUGCUAACCUCUGGUCAUUGGGUGGAACGUGAAGCUAUGUCCUCGGGUUCACCACGCCUGCACGCUGACUACUUGGGCACCGUCUCCCAGAACUGGUGGCCUUUUUCGCCCAUUAGGUUCACCAGUACACGCCAAAACAGUUCAGUUCAGUAGCUAGGCGUCGGAUAAGCCUUGGCAUCGGGUCCUACUAGGCUGUUUCUUUCGUUGUGCUGCAGUUCCUGUGUUUUUCUGUGUCUUGUUUUCCAGAUAGUUUUAAUAUAUUCUUUUCUUUCUUGUAUAUAUUUGAUUCUUUGUUCACUUCACCGCCUCCCUCGCCAUCAUGAAGUCGAGGUUUUGACAGGUGGUUCUUGCGUGCUGGCCGUCUCUCAUCUCGCCUCCGCUGCUGCCUACUGUCCAUGAGCUUCACCAGUACAUGACAGAGCACUACACCGCUUCUCUCGCCAUCAUGAAGUCGAGGUAUUGACAGGUGGUUCUUGGGUGCUGGCCGUCUCUCUCUCUCGCGCUCACGAAGUCGAGAUUUUGACAGGUGGUUCUUGUGUGCCGGCCGUCUCUCAUCACGUCUCCGCUGCUGCCUAUUGUCCAUCAGGUUCACCAGUACAUGACAGAGCACUACACCGCUUCUCUCGCCAUCAUGAAGUCGAGGUUUUGACAGGUGGUUCUUGCGUGCUGGCCGUCUCUCAUCUCGCCUCCGCUGCUGCCUACUGUCCAUGAGCUUCACCAGUACAUGACAGAGCACUACACCGCUUCUCUCGCCAUCAUGAAGUCGAGGUUUUGACAGCUGGUUCUUGCGUGCUGGCCGUCUCUCAUCUCGCCUCACUGCUGCCUACUGUCCAUGAGCUUCACCAGUACAUGACAGAGCACUACACCGCUUCUCUCGCCAUCAUGAAGUCGAGGUUUUGACAGCUGGUUCUUGCGUGCUGGCCGUCUCUCAUCUCGCCUCACUGCUGCCUACUGUCCAUGAGCUUCACCAGUACAUGACAGAGCACUACACCGCUUCUCUCGCCAUCAUGAGGUCGAGGUUUUGACAGGUGGUUCUUGCGUGCUGGCCGUCUCUCUCUCUCGCGCUCACGAAGUCGAGAUUUUGACAGGUGGUUCUUGCGUGCUGGCCGGCUCUCAUCUCGCCUCCACCGCUGCGUACUGUCCAUGAGCCCACCACCACUCGCCCGAACCACCUCAGGAAAACC
Molecule: long non-coding RNA, 3289 nt
Organism: Eriocheir sinensis (Chinese mitten crab)
Lineage: Eukaryota; Metazoa; Arthropoda; Malacostraca; Decapoda; Varunidae
Exons: 3
Source: RefSeq, a predicted model, not a curated record